AGACUAAAAAAAAUGCUACCAUACUAAACAGCAGAGAAAUAGAGCCCGUGUGAGACAAAAGGCAUCAUUUUAAAAAUUGGAAGUCAAAUACAAGUGAGGACAAUAGAAAGGAGCAUAAACUCUGGCAAGUCGUGUGAAAGUAUAGUAAGGCAGGCCAAGAAAGAAUUUGAAGAUCAACUAGACAAGGAAACACAAACUAACAACAAAAGUAUUUGUAAGUACAGCAGACUCAGGAAGCCUGCCAAACAGUCAGGCCACUGGACAACUGAGCUGCUAAAGGAGCACCCAAGGAAAACAUGGCUGCCGCGGAGGAGCUAAACAGGAUGCAGAAGUUAUCCUGGCAAUUACUGGCAGUGACCACUAGAUUAAGUUAUCUCCCCUUGAUACAAGCAAAGCUCCUUGAGACACAUCUGGAGCUUCCUGCUGGUGUCCUGGGGCAUCCACAGCAAACCAGUCAGAAGACAGUCAAUGAGAGUGGAGCCAAGCCCAAAAACCAGAAGCGAACAAGCAAUUCACAAAGAGGGACAGUGCCAGUUUUAUUUCUCUCACCAAGAAACUAACGCAGCAAGAAUAGUAUCUGCUCAGAGAGAAACUCUCAGCUAUACUUCCUGCUUGAGCCAAGAGUUAGGGCAGAAAGGAGAAUGAUGCAAAGAAAGUGUUCCUUGGGAGAGAUGAUGUGUCUGUGCUUGUACCAAACCUCUGUAUUUGCAGCACAAUUGGUCAAAUGGGGAAAUCUUCAGCUGCACAACAGCACUUGGGACAAACAGUCCUGCUGAAAGCUGUGUGGCCCAGACAAGAGGUUCCAGGCUGAAAUUCCUUGUGACUUUCCCAGUUUAAAAAUAUUUAAUCACAAAGACCGAACUAGAAUCAGGGAAGAAGAGGAAUAAUUGAGUAUGAAGAAGUUAAAUAGUCUGAGUCCUAUUACUAAACCCUUGUUGGUUCAGCUUGGCACCUCCUCAAAGAAGAUAUAGCCAGGUGUGACUUAUAGGCACCUUUUGAUGGUGUUUCAGCUCUUGGCCCCUCACCAUAGUUCUGAGCUGUCUCCUGAAGACCAGGAGAGUAGUGAGCCUUGCAGGGCUUGCAAGGACAAUGGUGCAGAUGACACAGAGCAAGUGCCCAUCAUGUCUGGUUAGAUUCUGUCUCAUAGAACCUGCACAAGAGGCUACAAUAGGAAUUAGCAAGUCUAGCAUAGUGCUGGUCCCUUCAUUCCCACAAGAUCUCCUACAAGCGUCACCAGUGCAGUAUGAUCAUAGUGUCAAAGAUUGCAGAGCGCUCUAGCAGAAACUGCAGAGGGGUUUAGAUGUGGCUCAAGACCAACAAGGGAUGGUUCAUCAGCUGCAGCAAAACCGUCUCUGGGCAGUGUCAGACACCUAAUUAUAGUGAAUGCAGAAGAGAUGCCACUAGAACUUGGAUGCCAUCACUUUCUCAAUAGCUUUGCCGAAAAGAAAAGGAUAGAUGGUUAGGGUAAGUGUAAUGGCCUGUACUUUUUAAGGUGGCUCAUUGAUAUGCUCUGUAGGCAGCAUUGAUGAUGUCAGUAUGAGGCCCAGUUGUUCUUUGCUUGCAAGAGGGGCAGGGUGUCUAUGUCAUAUAUAACAAUCUGGACCCACCUCAGAGCUUCCAGGAGCCUGAGGAAUGUCGAUCCCCCCUCCCACCCCCGGCUGCCAUAUUAGUUACUGUGAAACUAGGGUGACCAGACAGCAAACGUGAAAAAUCUGGAUGGGGUAGGAGAUAAUAGGAGCUUAUACAAGAAAAAGACCCAAAAAUGAGGACUGUCCCUAUAAAAUUGGGACAUCUGGUCACGCUAUGUGAAACACAUGAGCUUUGGACGUGCAGUCACUGGCUGUGGUUGGUAAUGGCUAAUUAUUAGAGCAAGAAGCAGGGACUCAGGAAUCUGUCAUUCUAGUUCUUGGGCAGGUCCUUCCCCUGCUCUGUCCCUCUGUUUCCCCAAUCUGUAAAAUGGGGCUGAUGACUUUACUGAGCUCCAAGGAUUUGGUAAGACUGCUUUGAGAGCAUUAGAGUAGAGCAGAGAAUUAUUAUUAUUGUCAUCAGUGUGUGGUUGAAAGUGAAGAGCAUGAAGGAUCUUUUGCCCCUUACAGGGGAGGAGGCCAGCUUGUUGUUUUUCCUGGUUCUCUUAAAAAGAAACAACCAGCUGCUGUUGAUUUUACAUGUUAACCGAUUCAGCCCUAUAUUGUGGCUAGAGCUAGGCUUGGUGGUGGGGCUCCGGCUGCACCCAUGACAAUGCUGCACAAAGCAGCGCACAGGGAGCUCUGAACACUUGCAGCAGUUUCUGGGUCUUGCUAGAGUUGCAUCUCAGAAAUACUCAAGAGCAGAGUUUAUAUGGUGCCGCUGUGGGCCAAGGUGAGGGGGGCAUUAGGAAGCUUCAGAACUGAAAGAUGGAAUUGAAGUAAAGCUCUACUGCCUACAGAAAUGGUAUUCAUUGUCAGCAACAAGACACUACCAAGUAAGAGCCAACGCAAGGGAAUUCAUUCCCAUCCUGAGCCAUUAGGACAUAUUUCACCUUCUGAUUCUACUUGAACUAAUGAGAGCUAAUACUAACCACACUGGUGUGGCAGGACAAACCAAUUAUUCUUUUAGCAGUUUGCCAUAAAAAUACUUUGGGGCAAAGCAAAUUAUUUUUAUUUUGGACAACGUCAUUCAAGAACGCUGCGCCACAAGUUUGGUCUGAAAAAAACCACACACGUUUUGACUCUUUUUAUCUUGUAUCAGCGGCGGAGAGCUAUGUGUGGUUACAGUUUUUUCUGCUCCUCAUUUCUGAGAAGAGAGGAUCAUAUUUAAUCAUUGUGUCAGUUGGCACAAACACCAUGUUUGUAGUGAAAUGCUAAAAAAACAGCCCAUUUAUCUUUCCCUCAAUCAAGAUUCGUAUGAUAUGGGCUUCUAGCGUUAGAACCUAUCAGUAAUGAAACCUGUGAAGGCUUCAUCUACAUAGCUUGUUUACUGUAAUUUAUUGUAAAGCAUGAGGUGACCUAUCCUGCCUAAUAUAACAAACACAACUGCUCUAUUCUAUACCCAAAUGGUGGUGUUGCCUGGAAGACUGUUGCUUUGGCUCUCUAUUAUUAUUCAUUGUCAUAUGAAUGAAGAGUAGCUGGAGUGUGAAUUGUGAUAUUAAACAACACAUUUCAGCAUAUGUAAUAUCUACACAGCUGGCAUCAAAGUAUCACGUCUAUUGGUUGCAGCAGUGGGUGUAGCUAGGUGUAGCAGUAAUAGUACAUAGAUAAGGCCAGAAGGGACCACUGUGUUCACCUAGUCUGACCCACAUAACAUAAUACUGCCAGACAGUUUCACCCAAUUUUUCCUGCAUCUAACCCAUAACUUAUAGUCAAGUUGCAGCAUAUCUUUUGUGACAUUGCAUUUAGUGGUAUUACAGCAUAUGUUGUUCAAAGGAGCCUAAUUUGCCAAGUGAACCAGAUUGUGUUGUAUAACUGUCCUGUGUAUAUUAGUUAUUUUAUUUUUAAUAUUGUUUUUAUUGUUGUAUAACUUAGGAGCCCAGUCAUGGCCUGGUCCCCUGAUUGUGCUAGGUGCUGCACAAACACUGAACAAAAAGAUGGUCCCUGUCCCAAGUGCUCACGUUAUUUACCACUCCAUCAAUGUUUUGUCACCUGCAAACUUUAGCAGCACUUCUUUUAUAAUUUCUUCCAGAACAUAGAUAAAGCUAUUGAAUAGCAUUGAGCCAAUAACGGAAUCCUUGGGACCUCACUAGAAACAUUCCCAAUAGGUGAGGAUUCUUCAUUAAGGAUUACUUUUUUGCGAUCUACCAGUUAGCCAGGUUUUAAUCCAUUUCACAUGUGCUACAUCAAUUUUGUGUAGUUCUCUGCUUAGAGCAGAGUUGUUGAAGCCGCAGAAGGGAAGCUCAUGAAAGCAGUUGAAACUGUCAGCUGCAGUAAAACCAGCAGGUAUUCAAAGAGAGCAGGGACAGAGAGAAGCUGUGAAACACAAACAGCCAGAUGUGUUGAUUUAGACAAUGAGUUGAA
Long non-coding RNA from Gopherus evgoodei (Goodes thornscrub tortoise), 3989 nucleotides. RefSeq lists it as uncharacterized. Lineage: Eukaryota; Metazoa; Chordata; Testudines; Testudinidae. The transcript has 3 exons. The record is from RefSeq and is a predicted model, not a curated record.